GCAUUUUCUUUCAGAUCCUGCCAUGUGGUCACUUCAAAGUACCUUGGGUGGUGAGGAGAAAUCCAAUGCUUACUUUGAAAAUCCUCAGACAGAAGAUGCUGUGGUUUGUGCAUGAUGUCUAGUAAACCACAUCAUUCUCUAAGGCACUUACUUUCUCAAAUAGAAACAUUAUUUCUUUCUUCCUGAGGAGCUGCCUGGUUUUCAGCAUGGAAAAAUACAGAAUGAAAAAGACUCUGGGAUUUAAAAGAAGUCACAAAUGUAAAACUACCUCUCUAUAUUAAUUAAGCAAAAGAAUUUUCUCAUAGGUGACUCUGCUGUUACUGCUUGUAUCUUACUUGAGUGCUGGGCAGACAGGCGAGGCUUAAGAUCUCACCAUUUCUCUGUUUAGGAGGGUUGCUUUCUGCAAGUGCCAGAACAUCCUCUAUCUCUCUGUGCCUUACAGAAGUUGGGCCGGCCAUAUAAGAUGCAACAGGGGCUGCUGGAUACCUUAAGCACCCAGGAGAACUGAAUGCAGGGCAACAGGGAAGAAUUAAGUGCUUGGCUUAGGUCUCUUGGCUCGGGAAUAUUUUCCUGGGAUGUGCACAAGCUGGGAAGAGGCAGAAGACAGACUGGAAUCUGAAGACCUCCCAACUUUGGUUCUGUCCUUGUUCAGCAACAGCAGGAACUUCAUCUCUUUGUAUGGAAUUCCUCCUGCAGUGCUGGAUGAAGAAUCAGAAUGGAAUCACAAGGUCAGACUUUUCAUUCUUUUCCAUUUGAUUCUCAGAGUUCUUAGGUCACAGUUUUCCUUUUGUGCCCUGAAAUUUCUUCUUCCAAGUGUGAUGCACAGGUAUGUCCUUCAAGGGAAUCAGUUAGAUAGACAUUAUAGAGAGGACCUUAAAAGGAAAUGUCAGUGA
Molecule: long non-coding RNA, 893 nt
Filed under: Coturnix japonica (Japanese quail)
Lineage: Eukaryota; Metazoa; Chordata; Aves; Galliformes; Phasianidae
Description: lncRNA (ENSCJPG00005012443.1)
Source: RNAcentral